Long non-coding RNA from Glossina fuscipes, 186 nucleotides. RefSeq lists it as uncharacterized. NCBI's taxonomy places the organism in Eukaryota, Metazoa, Arthropoda, Insecta, Diptera, Glossinidae. The record is from RefSeq and is a predicted model, not a curated record. The transcript has 3 exons.
AUUCGAAUAAAGUUGAAGUACAACGCCCACCGCCUCAUCAUAACGAAUGAACGAUUUGCUAUAUGUCAAGAUUAAAAAACAAACAUACGCCUCCACUAUCGCUUCUGCGGAAUGCGAUAUUUACAUAGGCCAAUGAUAUCAACACACAGGCACAGCGAUCGUGAUGUAUUUAUAUGUAUUUUUUAU